Molecule: unclassified non-coding RNA, 339 nt
Filed under: soil metagenome
Description: partial contains 5.8S ribosomal RNA, internal transcribed spacer 2, and large subunit ribosomal RNA
Rfam family: 5.8S ribosomal RNA (bases 1-120)
Source: RNAcentral
GAUGAAGAACGUAGCGAAAUGCGAUAACUAAUGUGAAUUGCAGAAUUCAGUGUAUCAUCGAGUCUUUGAACGCACAUUGCGCCCCCUGGUAUUCCGGGGGGCAUGCCUGUCCGAGCGUCAUUGCUGCCCUCAAGCACGGCUUGUGUGUUGGGCUCCGUCCCCCCGGGGACGGGCCCGAAAGGCAGCGGCGGCACCGAGUCCGGUCCUCGAGCGUAUGGGGCUUUGUCACCCGCUCUGUAGGCCCGGCCGGCGCCAGCCGACAACCCAUCAUCCUUUUCAGGUUGACCUCGGAUCAGGUAGGGAUACCCGCUGAACUUAAGCAUAUCAAUAAGCGGAGGA